This 1609-nucleotide ribosomal RNA is filed under the name Salmonella enterica. RNAcentral's name for it is "partial 23S ribosomal RNA". It matches the Rfam family "Bacterial large subunit ribosomal RNA", at positions 1213 to 2803 of the family's 2925-position model. Lineage: Bacteria; Pseudomonadati; Pseudomonadota; Gammaproteobacteria; Enterobacterales; Enterobacteriaceae. The record is from RNAcentral.
GCUGAUGCGUUGUUGGGUAGGGGAGCGUUCUGUAAGCCUGCGAAGGUGGCCUGUGAGGGUUGCUGGAGGUAUCAGAAGUGCGAAUGCUGACAUAAGUAACGAUAAAGCGGGUGAAAAGCCCGCUCGCCGGAAGACCAAGGGUUCCUGUCCAACGUUAAUCGGGGCAGGGUGAGUCGACCCCUAAGGCGAGGCCGAAAGGCGUAGUCGAUGGGAAACGGGUUAAUAUUCCCGUACUUGGUGUUACUGCGAAGGGGGGACGGAGAAGGCUAUGUUGGCCGGGCGACGGUUGUCCCGGUUUAAGCGUGUAGGUGUGUGUUCCAGGUAAAUCCGGUUCACUUUAACACUGAGGCGUGACGACGAGGCACUACGGUGCUGAAGCAACAAAUGCCCUGCUUCCAGGAAAAGCCUCUAAGCAUCAGGUAACAUCAAAUCGUACCCCAAACCGACACAGGUGGUCAGGUAGAGAAUACCAAGGCGCUUGAGAGAACUCGGGUGAAGGAACUAGGCAAAAUGGUGCCGUAACUUCGGGAGAAGGCACGCUGACACGUAGGUGAAGUGAUUUACUCAUGGAGCUGAAGUCAGUCGAAGAUACCAGCUGGCUGCAACUGUUUAUUAAAAACACAGCACUGUGCAAACACGAAAGUGGACGUAUACGGUGUGACGCCUGCCCGGUGCCGGAAGGUUAAUUGAUGGGGUCAGCGCAAGCGAAGCUCCUGAUCGAAGCCCCGGUAAACGGCGGCCGUAACUAUAACGGUCCUAAGGUAGCGAAAUUCCUUGUCGGGUAAGUUCCGACCUGCACGAAUGGCGUAAUGAUGGCCAGGCUGUCUCCACCCGAGACUCAGUGAAAUUGAACUCGCUGUGAAGAUGCAGUGUACCCGCGGCAAGACGGAAAGACCCCGUGAACCUUUACUAUAGCUUGACACUGAACAUUGAGCCUUGAUGUGUAGGAUAGGUGGGAGGCUUUGAAGUGUGGACGCCAGUCUGCAUGGAGCCGACCUUGAAAUACCACCCUUUAAUGUUUGAUGUUCUAACGUGGACCCGUGAUCCGGGUUGCGGACAGUGUCUGGUGGGUAGUUUGACUGGGGCGGUCUCCUCCUAAAGAGUAACGGAGGAGCACGAAGGUUGGCUAAUCCUGGUCGGACAUCAGGAGGUUAGUGCAAUGGCAUAAGCCAGCUUGACUGCGAGCGUGACGGCGCGAGCAGGUGCGAAAGCAGGUCAUAGUGAUCCGGUGGUUCUGAAUGGAAGGGCCAUCGCUCAACGGAUAAAAGGUACUCCGGGGAUAACAGGCUGAUACCGCCCAAGAGUUCAUAUCGACGGCGGUGUUUGGCACCUCGAUGUCGGCUCAUCACAUCCUGGGGCUGAAGUAGGUCCCAAGGGUAUGGCUGUUCGCCAUUUAAAGUGGUACGCGAGCUGGGUUUAGAACGUCGUGAGACAGUUCGGUCCCUAUCUGCCGUGGGCGCUGGAGAACUGAGGGGGGCUGCUCCUAGUACGAGAGGACCGGAGUGGACGCAUCACUGGUGUUCGGGUUGUCAUGCCAAUGGCACUGCCCGGUAGCUAAAUGCGGAAGAGAUAAGUGCUGAAAGCAUCUAAGCACGAAACUUGCCCCGAG